This 468-nucleotide ribosomal RNA is filed under the name uncultured bacterium. RNAcentral describes it as "partial 16S ribosomal RNA". It matches the Rfam family "Bacterial small subunit ribosomal RNA", at positions 28 to 507 of the family's 1533-position model. The record is from RNAcentral.
GACGAACGCUGGCGGCGUGCUUAACACAUGCAAGUCGAACGGAAAGGCCCUGCUUUUGUGGGGUGCUCGAGUGGCGAACGGGUGAGUAACACGUGAGUAACCUGCCCUUGACUUUGGGAUAACUUCAGGAAACUGGGGCUAAUACCGGAUAGGAGCUCCUGCUGCAUGGUGGGGGGUGGAAAGUUUCGGCGGGUGGGGAUGGACGCGCGGCUUAUCAGCUUGUUGGUGGGGGAGUGGCUUACCAAGGCUUUGACGGGUAGCCGGCCUGAGAGGGUGACCGGCCACAUUAGGACUGAGAUACGGCCCAGACUGCUACGGGAGGCAGCAGUGGGGAAUAUUGCACAAUGGGCGGAAGCCUGAUGAAGCAACGCCGCGUGCGGGAUGACGUCCUUUGGGUUGUAAACCGCUUUCGCCUGUGACGAAGCGUGAGUGACGGUAAUGGGUAAAGAAGCACCGGCUAACUACGUG